This 535-nucleotide ribosomal RNA is filed under the name Rilaena anatolica. RNAcentral's name for it is "partial large subunit ribosomal RNA". It matches the Rfam family "Bacterial large subunit ribosomal RNA", at positions 1796 to 2622 of the family's 2925-position model. Lineage: Eukaryota; Metazoa; Arthropoda; Arachnida; Opiliones; Phalangiidae. The record is from RNAcentral.
UCGCCUGUUUAUCAAAAACAUUUUUUUAAGUUACUUAAUUAAAAUAAGCCCUGCUCUAUGAUUAGUUAAUAAUUAAAUAGCCGCAGUAUAUUGACUGUGCAAAGGUAGCAUAAUCAUUUGGUUCUUAAUUGGAAUCUUGUAUGAAGGGGUUAACGAGAUUUUACUGUCUUAAAAAUAUUUUUUGAAUUUAUAAUUUUUGUAAUAAUACAAGAAUUUAGUUAAGGGACGAUAAGACCCUAUAAAGCUUUAUUUUAAUAAUAAGCUGUUUUUAUACAAUUCAGUUUGUUAAGAAAAUUUUACUGGGGCGGUACUUUAAUAUUUUAAACUAGAGUUAAUUUUAUAUAUUUGAUCCAAUUUUAUUGAGCAUAAGAUUAAGUUACUUUAGGGAUAACAGCAUAAUUCGCUUAGGGAGUUCAAAUCGAAAAGCGAGAUUAUGACCUCGAUGUUGAAUUAAAAUUUCUUUAGGGUGUAGGCGCUCUAUUAGUUAGUCUGUUCGACUAUUAAAUUUUUACAUGAUCUGAGUUCAAACCGGAGA